AACGGUCUAUACCUGCGGUACCUGCGGAGGGAUCAUUAUCGAGUUGCAAAACUCCCUAAACCAUUGUGAACCUACCUGUACCGUUCCUUCGGCGGGCGGCGUCAAGCCCUAACCCGGUCCCCUUUACGGGGGAUGGACCCGCCGGAGGCUCCUAAACUCUUAAUUUUAGUUGGCAUCUCUGAGUAAAUCAAAAUAAGUCAAAACUUUCAGCAACGGAUCUCUAGAUCGGAAGAGCACACG
RNAcentral lists this unclassified non-coding RNA (240 nucleotides) under soil metagenome. RNAcentral's name for it is "partial contains 5.8S ribosomal RNA, internal transcribed spacer 2, and large subunit ribosomal RNA". The record is from RNAcentral.